Molecule: ribosomal RNA, 497 nt
Filed under: uncultured bacterium
Lineage: Bacteria
Description: partial 16S ribosomal RNA
Rfam family: Bacterial small subunit ribosomal RNA
Source: RNAcentral
GAUGAACGCUGGCGGCGUGCCUAAUACAUGCCAGUCGAGCGAACAGACGAGGAGCUUGCUCCUCUGACGUUAGCGGCGGACGGGUGAGUAACACGUGGAUAACCUACCUAUAAGACUGGGAUAACUUCGGGAAACCGGAGCUAAUACCGGAUAAUAUAUUGAACCGCAUGGUUCAAUAGUGAAAGACGGUUUUACUGUCACUUAUAGAUGGAUCCGCGCCGCAUUAGCUAGUUGGUAAGGUAACGGCUUACCAAGGCAACGAUGCGUAGCCGACCUGAGAGGGUGAUCGGCCACACUGGAACUGAGACACGGUCCAGACUCCUACGGGAGGCAGCAGUAGGGAAUCUUCCGCAAUGGGCGAAAGCCUGACGGAGCAACGCCGCGUGAGUGAUGAAGGUCUUCGGAUCGUAAAACUCUGUUAUUAGGGAAGAACAAAUGUGUAAGUAACUAUGCACGUCUUGACGGUACCUAAUCAGAAAGCCACGGCUAACUACGUG